GAUGAACGCUGGCGGCGUGCUUAACACAUGCAAGUCGAGCGAAAAUAAUUGAGAGCUUGCUUUUGAUUAUUUUAGCGGCGGACGGGUGAGUAACGUGUGGGCAACCUGCCUUUUACUGGGGAAUAAUCGUUGGAAACGACGACUAAUACCGCAUACGGUUCUUGGAAGGCAUCUUCUGAGAAAGAAAGGAUUUAUUCGGUAAAAGAUGGGCCCGCAUCUGAUUAGCUAGUUGGUGAGAUAACAGCCCACCAAGGCGACGAUCAGUAGCCGACCUGAGAGGGUGACCGGCCACAUUGGGACUGAGACACGGCCCAA
Molecule: ribosomal RNA, 315 nt
Filed under: uncultured bacterium
Lineage: Bacteria
Description: bacterial SSU rRNA
Rfam family: Bacterial small subunit ribosomal RNA
Source: RNAcentral